AGUGAACGCUGGCGGUAGGCCUAACACAUGCAAGUCGAACGGCAGCACAGUAAGAGCUUGCUCUUCGGGUGGCGAGUGGCGGACGGGUGAGGAAUACAUCGGAAUCUACUUUUUCGUGGGGGAUAACGUAGGGAAACUUACGCUAAUACCGCAUACGACCUACGGGUGAAAGCAGGGGAUCUUCGGACCUUGCGCGAUUGAAUGAGCCGAUGUCGGAUUAGCUAGUUGGCGGGGUAAAGGCCCACCAAGGCGACGAUCCGUAGCUGGUCUGAGAGGAUGAUCAGCCACACUGGAACUGAGACACGGUCCAGACUCCUACGGGAGGCAGCAGUGGGGAAUAUUGGACAAUGGGCGCAAGCCUGAUCCAGCCAUACCGCGUGGGUGAAGAAGGCCUUCGGGUUGUAAAGCCCUUUUGUUGGGAAAGAAAAGCAGCAGGUUAAUACCCCGCUGCUCUGACGGUACCCAAAGAAUAAGCACCGGCUAACUUCGUG
Molecule: ribosomal RNA, 491 nt
Filed under: uncultured bacterium
Lineage: Bacteria
Description: partial 16S ribosomal RNA
Rfam family: Bacterial small subunit ribosomal RNA
Source: RNAcentral